Molecule: ribosomal RNA, 1171 nt
Filed under: Triticum aestivum (bread wheat)
Lineage: Eukaryota; Viridiplantae; Streptophyta; Magnoliopsida; Poales; Poaceae
Description: partial small subunit ribosomal RNA
Source: RNAcentral
CUUCUCCCUUCCUCCCUCCCGGCCGGCGGGCCUCCUCCCUCAACAGCGGCGCGCCUCCUCCCCCAUCGCCGUUGUUUCUUUCCCAUGGACGUCGUGCCUCCUCUCCCAUGUCGGCGGACCUUCUUCCACACAGCCAACAGGCAUACUCCCCCACGGCCGGUGAGCCUCCUCCCCCAUGGACGAUCCAUUCUGUCCACGCGCCGUCGUCCUCCUGGCUACGUCCCAUCGAGCGCCGCCCCUGCAUCUUGCCACCACGCAUCGAGCGAUGCAGCACUCAGGGUCGUUUCGCCACCACCACCUCCGGCCGUUCAGCGAUGCAGCAGCAAGAUGUUCAACGCCUCAGCCCCCCUGCGAAUCCCACUGUUGCAGCAACCGGACGAGGCCCAUAUCUUUUUUCUUUGAUAAGAUAAUUUUUAUUGCAUACUGUCUGUUAUUUUGCUCUGUCAUUUUGCUGAUGCCUAAAAAGAAGUUAGAUGAUGGGCUCUGCGGUCUGCAAGCUGCCUCCAACCUUUGGCAAUAUUUGUAAAAAUGAUUGUGCAGAUUUUUUGUUACCCCAUUUUAGUUACUGAUUGAAGAAAAUUUUGUUCAUUAGGUGAAAGAACUUGAUUUCUUUUGUUCCUUUGUGGAGGAAGAAGGUCACCACAGAGGUAGGGAGAAGGUCACCAUAAAGGCAGGGAGAAGGUCACAUAAGGUGCAGAAAGAAUGUCAGAGUUCAGCAACGGGGUGUGAUCUUUGUGUUGUUUUUGGGGUGCAAAUCAUGGGUAUGCGAUCUCACAUCCUGUGUACUAUUGAGAUGGCCUCCCUUAGCCUCAAACCAUAUUGCCUACAAAAAUGAUAGUCGCAAUGCUACCGUCAUGUGUGUAAAGAGAAUUAGAUAUGUACAUGUACACAACCUACAACAACUUUAUGGGGAGUUGAUGGAUUAUUCAGUGGUUGUUGCUGCCACUACUGAUUUUUUCUUGAGAUGGUCUACAUCACCAUUCAAUAAUUCACUUGUUUCUUGGUUGCAUCUAGUUCCCUCGCUUCACCUCAACACUGUUCCCUUCAGCUAGAUCUCCCUUGUUAUUUUGUAUUCUUAUUUUCUUUUCAUAAAGCAUUUGCUCUGAAAUUCGGAUCCGAUGAUGUAGCUUUGACUAUUCAUGAAAAUGUGGUGAAAAUUGUACAUGCUCUC